GACGAACGCUGGCGGCGUGCCUAACACAUGCAAGUCGAACGGAAAGGCCCUGCUUUUGUGGGGUGCUCGAGUGGCGAACGGGUGAGUAACACGUGAGUAACCUGCCCUUGACUUUGGGAUAACUUCAGGAAACUGGGGCUAAUACCGGAUAGGAGCUCCUGCUGCAUGGUGGGGGUUGGAAAGUUUCGGCGGUUGGGGAUGGACUCGCGGCUUAUCAGCUUGUUGGUGGGGUAGUGGCUUACCAAGGCUUUGACGGGUAGCCGGCCUGAGAGGGUGACCGGCCACAUUGGGACUGAGAGACGGCCCCGACUCCUACGGGAGGCAGCAGUGGGGAAUAUUGCACAAUGGGCGGAAGCCUUAUGCAGCAACGCCGCGUGCGGGAUGACGGCCUUCGGGUUGUAAACCGCUUUCGCCUGUGACGAAGCGUGAGUGACGGUAAUGGGUAAAGAAGCACCGGCUAACUACGUG
RNAcentral lists this ribosomal RNA (468 nucleotides) under uncultured bacterium. RNAcentral's name for it is "partial 16S ribosomal RNA". It matches the Rfam family "Bacterial small subunit ribosomal RNA", at positions 28 to 507 of the family's 1533-position model. The record is from RNAcentral.